UUUAAGUGCAGUUGUGGAUUUCUGUGUCCGUCUUAUUUGAAAUUUUUUAUGAUUAGUGUUUUUAUUAUUAUUAGAUGAUAAAACAUGAAUAGUACUUUAUGCGUGAAUUAUUUUUAAUUUUUUUCAUAAAUUUUUCAAAUAAGAUAAAUGGUCAAACAUUGUAUACGGAAAUCCGCAACUGCACUUAAA
Molecule: microRNA precursor, 189 nt
Organism: Oryza rufipogon (brownbeard rice)
Lineage: Eukaryota; Viridiplantae; Streptophyta; Magnoliopsida; Poales; Poaceae
Rfam family: MIR812 microRNA precursor family
Source: Rfam